GACGAACGCUGGCGGCGUGCCUAAUACAUGCAAGUUGAGCGCUGAAGGUUGGUACUUGUACCAACUGGAUGAGCAGCGAACGGGUGAGUAACGCGUGGGGAAUCUGCCUUUGAGCGGGGGACAACAUUUGGAAACGAAUGCUAAUACCGCAUAAAAACUUGAAACACAAGGGUUAAGGGUGAAAGAUGCAAUUGCAUCACUCAAAGAUGAUCCCGCGUUGUAUUAGCUAGGUGGUGAGGUAAAGGCUCACCAAGGCGAGGAUACAUAGCCGACCUGAGAGGGUGAGCGGCCACCUUGGGACGGUGACCCGGCCCAAUGUCCUACGGGAGGCAGCCGUAGGGCAUCGGCGGCGAUGGGCGGAAGUUUGACCGCGCAACGCCGCGUGCGUGUAGAAGGUUGUCGGGUCGUGAAUCUCUGUUGGUAGGGAAGAACGUUGGUGAGAGUGGAAAGAUCAGCAAGUGACGGUAACUACUCAGAAAGGGACGGCUAACUACGUG
This 497-nucleotide ribosomal RNA is filed under the name uncultured bacterium. Its description in RNAcentral is "partial 16S ribosomal RNA". It matches the Rfam family "Bacterial small subunit ribosomal RNA", at positions 28 to 507 of the family's 1533-position model. The record is from RNAcentral.